This is a non-coding RNA of Dallia pectoralis (Alaska blackfish), 73 nucleotides long. The record is from the annotation of a GenBank genome assembly. NCBI's taxonomy places the organism in Eukaryota, Metazoa, Chordata, Actinopteri, Esociformes, Umbridae.
GGCUCGUUGGUCUAGGGGUAUGAUUCUCGCUUUGGGAAUGAGAGGUUCCCGGGUACAAAUCCCGGACGAGCCC